RNAcentral lists this long non-coding RNA (976 nucleotides) under Ictidomys tridecemlineatus (thirteen-lined ground squirrel). Its description in RNAcentral is "lncRNA (ENSSTOG00000033580.1)". Lineage: Eukaryota; Metazoa; Chordata; Mammalia; Rodentia; Sciuridae. The record is from RNAcentral.
CGUAGGGAAGCGCCGAGCUACCGCGGCUAUUGUGUGCCGCGUUGUUGCCCUCCGCUUCCCGCUUUGGUGUCUAGGGAGGAAGGCUACGUUUCAUUGCCGCCCUCGGGCUUAACCCUUCUGGCUCCUCACAGGACAGCAAGCUUGGACUAGGAAAAACUCUCAGCAGCUGCCGGACCCGGGUAACGAAACCCUAAGGUACAAGGAAGACAGUUGAAUAGAGAGCUUGAGCGCCCAGGCUGGGAUUUCGGGCUUUGCUGGGGCGGGGCGGAGGCGCUGGCUUUAAGAAGGGGGAGGGGACAGUGCGAUCCGGGUUGCCCGCGGAGUUCGGCGUAGGAAAUCUUCAGCUAGCUCUGGAGCGAGGAGCGAGGAGCUAGGAGAGGCGGCUCCCAAUCCCAGCGCUCACCCCCGCCUACACCCUGGGCGGGCCGAAGUGUCACGUUUGCAAGUGCUCAGGAAGGAUUCGGCCCGUCUUCGGAGGCAAGCCGGUCAGGCUGCGGUUUCUGCUGCCUAUAAGGAGAGGCGAUGCCAAGCGGGUAUGCUGCUUACUAGGCAGCACCCCAUCAGGAUCCGACUGCAUUAGUAAGCCUUCACAGUCACCUGAAGCCACCGACGGGCCGCGCGUUCCUCGUACGCACCAGCCACUGCUUCCCAGGAAUCUCAUUGGAACAGAACCAUGGGGCAUCCUCCGCUGGAGUUCAGCGAUUGCUACUUGGACAGCCCCGACUUCCGUGAGAGGCUCAAGUGUUAUGAGCAGGAGCUGGAGAGGACCAAUAAAUUCAUCAAAGACGUGAUCAAAGACGGCAACGCGCUUAUCAGCGCCAUGAGAAAUUACUCCUCUGCUGUUCAGAAAUUUUCCCAGACGCUGCAGUCCUUUCAAUUUGAUUUUAUUGGAGACACUCUGACUGACGAUGAGAUUAACAUUGGUGAGUCUUCAGUUUCAUGUGGCCAUAUACCUUUCUCUCUCUCUCUUAUUUUA